GACGAACGCUGGCGGCGUGCUUAACACAUGCAAGUCGAACGGAAAGGCCCUGCUUGCAGGGUACUCGAGUGGCGAACGGGUGAGUAACACGUGGGUGAUCUGCCCUGCACUUCGGGAUAAGCUUGGGAAACUGGGUCUAAUACCGGAUAGGAACCAUCUUUAGUGUGGUGGUUGGAAAGUUUUUUCGGUGUAGGAUGAGCUCGCGGCCUAUCAGCUUGUUGGUGGGGUAAUGGCCUACCAAGGCGGCGACGGGUAGCCGGCCUGAGAGGGUGUACGGCCACAUUGGGACUGAGAUACGGCCCAGACUCCUACGGGAGGCAGCAGUGGGGAAUAUUGCACAAUGGGCGCAAGCCUGAUGCAGCGACGCCGCGUGGGGGAUGAAGGCCUUCGGGUUGUAAACUCCUUUCGCUAGGGACGAAGCGUUGUUGUGACGGUACCUAGAGAAGAAGCACCGGCUAACUACGUG
RNAcentral lists this ribosomal RNA (466 nucleotides) under uncultured bacterium. Its description in RNAcentral is "partial 16S ribosomal RNA". It matches the Rfam family "Bacterial small subunit ribosomal RNA", at positions 28 to 507 of the family's 1533-position model. The record is from RNAcentral.